RNAcentral lists this ribosomal RNA (458 nucleotides) under uncultured bacterium. Its description in RNAcentral is "partial 16S ribosomal RNA". It matches the Rfam family "Bacterial small subunit ribosomal RNA", at positions 338 to 795 of the family's 1533-position model. The record is from RNAcentral.
CCUACGGGCGGCAGCAGUGAGGAAUAUUGGUCAAUGGGCGAGACCCUGAACCAGCCAAGCCGCGUGAGGGAGUACUGCCCUAUGGGUUUUAAACCCUUUUUGCCGGGGAGCAAAAGCCGUACGUGUCCGGCUGCGAGAGUACCCGAAGAAAAAGCAUCGGCUAACUCCGUGCCAGCAGCCGCGGUAAUUCGGAGGAUGCGAGGGUUAUCCGGAUUUAUUGGGUUUAAAGGGUGCGCAGGCGGAAUUUAAAGUCAGCGGUAAAAUCGUGGGGCUCAACCCCAUCCAGCCGUUGAAACUGGGGUGCUGGAGUGUGCGAGAGGUAUGCGGAAUGCGUGGUGUAGCGGUGAAAUGCAUAGAUAUCACGCAGAACCCCGAUUGCGAAGGCAGCAUACCGGUGCACAACUGACGCUCAGGCACGAAAGCGUGGGUAUCGAACAGGAUUAGAUACCCGAGUAGUC